AACAGAAAGAAAAACUUGAAGGGACACAGUCUUAAAAGGGAUUUCAAAAGAGAAACCAGGAACAACAAUAAAAUGUCCCUAUCCCAUGACCCUGCCAGUUCUUCAGAAAAAUGAACUCUCCCAAAGUGACAAGGUAUCCUAGUAGAGGCAUCAGAAGGCUCCUGACCUUAGGAGAGUGCUGCCACCCAUUGGUCCCAUCAGAGAGAAGAGGGGCCUAGUUACCUGCUCCUAUCAGAAGCUGUCUGGGACCUAAGCCUGUUUUCUCCAGAACUUGAAAACCCAGAAAAGCAAGUUGUUCCAGGCACUGGUUUGGUGACUCAGUCAUUGUGCUUGGACAGAGGACCACUCUAAGUCCCCGCUGUCGUCUUUGGGGCACAUCUUAAAGAGACUCCAGAUUCCCCAGAGGCCAAGCAAGAGCGAGUCCUUCAGCCCUUUAUUUAAAACUGUAUUAUGGAAGAAACGAAGGAGUCACCUCUGUCUUUAGAGGAAAAUGCAUCUCACCAUUUUUCCUAGUUAUUUUAUAAUCAAAUUAUUUCGGGUUUAUCAACCCCAUCCUCACCGUAGCUCUGCAUUAAAGAACAAUUUAUGCAUUGAGUUUUAUAGGUAAGACAAAA
This is a long non-coding RNA of Rattus norvegicus (Norway rat), 614 nucleotides long. The record is from Ensembl. Lineage: Eukaryota; Metazoa; Chordata; Mammalia; Rodentia; Muridae.